RNAcentral lists this ribosomal RNA (228 nucleotides) under uncultured bacterium. RNAcentral's name for it is "partial 16S ribosomal RNA". It matches the Rfam family "Bacterial small subunit ribosomal RNA", at positions 524 to 752 of the family's 1533-position model. The record is from RNAcentral.
UACAGAGGUCUCAAGCGUUGUUCGGAUUCAUUGGGCGUAAAGGGUGCGUAGGUGGCGCUGUAAGUCGGGUGUGAAAUUUCGGAGCUUAACUCCGAAACUGCAUUCGAUACUGCCGUGCUUGAGGACUGGAGAGGAGACUGGAAUUACGGUGUAGCGGUGAAAUGCGUAGAUAUCGUAAGGAAGACCAGUGGCGAAGGCGGGUCUCUGGACAGUUCCUGACGCUGAGGC